AACGCACGAGACCUGCGGACCUGCGGAGGGAUCAUUACCGAGUUUACAACUCCCAAACCCCUGUGAACAUACCACUCGUUGCCUCGGCGGAUCACCGCGCCCCGUGAAACGGGCCGGCCCGCCAGAGGACCUAAACUCAAAUGUUUUAUUGUAUCUUCUGAGUAAAAACACAAAUAAAUCAAAACUUUUAACAACGGAUCUCU
Molecule: unclassified non-coding RNA, 203 nt
Filed under: soil metagenome
Description: partial contains 5.8S ribosomal RNA, internal transcribed spacer 2, and large subunit ribosomal RNA
Source: RNAcentral